This 645-nucleotide ribosomal RNA is filed under the name Helvella lacunosa. Its description in RNAcentral is "eukaryotic LSU rRNA". It matches the Rfam family "Eukaryotic large subunit ribosomal RNA", at positions 70 to 726 of the family's 3401-position model. The record is from RNAcentral. Lineage: Eukaryota; Fungi; Ascomycota; Pezizomycetes; Pezizales; Helvellaceae.
AGGGAUUGCCCCAGUAACGGCGAGUGAAGCGGCACCAGCUCAAAUUUGAAAUCUGGGGCCCUCGGCCUCCGAGUUGUAAUUUGGAGAGGCAUCCUUCUGGGGGGAGCGCCGGCCCAUGUUCCUUGGAACAGGACGUCACAGAGGGUGAGAAUCCCGUGUGAGGCAGGCUGCCUCCUCCCGUGUGAAGGGCCUUCGACGAGUCGAGUUGUUUGGGAAUGCAGCUCCAAGUGGGUGGUAAAUUUCAUCUAAAGCUAAAUACCGGCGGGAGACCGAUAGCGCACAAGUAGAGUGAUCGAAAGAUGAAAAGCACUUUGAAAAUAGAGUCAAAAAGUACGUGAAAUUGUUGAAAGGGAAGCGCUUGAGACCAGACUCAGGCCCGGGCAAACACCGCGCCCCUUGGGGCCGUGCAAUUGCCCGGGGCUGGGCCAGCAUCAGUUGGUGUGGCGGGACAAAGGCGCAGGCAAUGUGGCUCCCCUCGAGGAGUGUUAUUAGGCCCGCGCUCAAUGCCGCCGACGUCGACUGAGGACCGCGCCUCGGCUAGGAUGCUGGCUCAAUGGCCUUCAGCGACCCGUCUUGAAACACGGACCAAGGAGUCUAACAUCUAUGCGAGUGUUUGGGCGUCAAACCCUUGCGCGUAAUGAAAGU